RNAcentral lists this ribosomal RNA (909 nucleotides) under Occultibambusa pustula. RNAcentral describes it as "eukaryotic LSU rRNA". It matches the Rfam family "Eukaryotic large subunit ribosomal RNA", at positions 37 to 963 of the family's 3401-position model. Lineage: Eukaryota; Fungi; Ascomycota; Dothideomycetes; Pleosporales; Occultibambusaceae. The record is from RNAcentral.
AGCAUAUCAAUAAGCGGAGGAAAAGAAACCAACAGGGAUUGCCCUAGUAACGGCGAGUGAAGCGGCAACAGCUCAAAUUUGAAAUCUGGCUCUCUCGGGGCCCGAGUUGUAAUUUGUAGAGGGCGCUUUGGCGUCGGUCGCGGUCUAAGUUCCUUGGAACAGGACGUCACAGAGGGUGAGAAUCCCGUACGUGGCCGCGGUCCGUCGCCGUGUAAAGCCCCUUCGACGAGUCGAGUUGUUUGGGAAUGCAGCUCUAAAUGGGAGGUAAAUUUCUUCUAAAGCUAAAUAUUGGCCAGAGACCGAUAGCGCACAAGUAGAGUGAUCGAAAGAUGAAAAGCACUUUGGAAAGAGAGUCAAAAAGCACGUGAAAUUGUUGAAAGGGAAGCGCUUGCAGCCAGACUUGCCCGCAGUUGCUCACCCGAGCCUUCGGCCCGGGGCACUCUUCUGCGGGCAGGCCAGCAUCAGUUCAGGCGGCCGGACAAAGACCUCUGUCACGUAUCAUCCUUCGGGCUGACCUUAUAGGGGAGGUGUAAUGCGGCCAGCCUGGAUUGAGGUCCGCGCAUCAGCUAGGAUGCUGGCGUAAUGGCUGUAAGCGGCCCGUCUUGAAACACGGACCAAGGAGUCUAACAUCUAUGCGAGUGUUUGGGUGUCAAGCCCGGGCGCGCAAUGAAAGUGAACGGAGGUGGGAACCCCCCGGGGCGCACCAUCGACCGAUCCUGAUGUCUUCGGAUGGAUUUGAGUAAGAGCAUAGCUGUUGGGACCCGAAAGAUGGUGAACUAUGCCUGAAUAGGGUGAAGCCAGAGGAAACUCUGGUGGAGGCUCGCAGCGGUUCUGACGUGCAAAUCGAUCGUCAAAUUUGGGCAUAGGGGCGAAAGACUAAUCGAACUAUCUAGUAGCUGGUUCCUGCCG